AAGUCGUAACAAGGUUUCCGUAGGUGAACCUGCGGAAGGAUCAUUAACACGAAUUUUAUCCAAAUAUCAAAACUAAACGUGAACUUUUCCCCUCCCUAUAUUUAUAGAUAUAGGCUAACCUUUUUAUUAAAUCAUUUAACUACUUUAAUUUACUGAGUCCUUUAAUAUUAUAUUAAAACGACUAACUAAACUAAAAAUUUUACUUAAGAUGUUAUUCGUCUUAAUUAAAUAUUUUUCUUUACGGAAUAAAUAUUUUACUUAUAAGAACAACUCUUAGCAAUGGAUAUCUUGGUUCUC
This 297-nucleotide unclassified non-coding RNA is filed under the name fungal sp. RNAcentral describes it as "partial internal transcribed spacer region". The stretch from base 1 to 46 matches the Rfam family "Eukaryotic small subunit ribosomal RNA", at positions 1786 to 1831 of the family's 1831-position model. The record is from RNAcentral. Lineage: Eukaryota; Fungi.